This 450-nucleotide ribosomal RNA is filed under the name uncultured bacterium. RNAcentral's name for it is "partial 16S ribosomal RNA". It matches the Rfam family "Bacterial small subunit ribosomal RNA", at positions 338 to 795 of the family's 1533-position model. The record is from RNAcentral.
CCUACGGGAGGCUGCAGUGAGGAAUAUUGGUCAAUGGGCGUAAGCCUGAACCAGCCAUCCCGCGUGAAGGAAGACGGCGCUAUGCGUUGUAAACUUCUUUUCCGGAGGAAUAAAAUUUCGUACGUGUACGGAACUGAAGGUACUCCGGGAAUAAGCAUCGGCUAACUCCGUGCCAGCAGCCGCGGUAAUACGGCGGAUGCCGGCGUUAUCCGGAUUAAUUGGGUUUAACGGGUACUUAUAAGGCUUAGGUGAAAACCUGCAGCUUAACUGGAGACUGGACAUUGAUACUGUUAGUCUUGAGUACGGUCAAGGUAGGCGGAAUGUGUAAUGUAGCGGUGAAAUGCUUAGAUAUUACACAGAACACCGAUUGCGAAGGCAGCUUACUGGGCCAUUACUGACGCUGAUGCACGAAAGCGUGGGGAGCGAACAGGAUUAGAUACCCUAGUAGUC